AACGAACGCUGGCGGCAUGCCUAACACAAGCAAGUCGAACGAGAUCUUCGGGUCUAGUGGCGAACGGGUGCGUAACGCGUGGGAAUCUGCCCUUUGGUUCGGAAUAACAGUUGGAAACGACUGCUAAUACCGGAUGAUGACGAAAGUCCAAAGAUUUAUCGCCAGAGGAUGAGCCCGCGUAGGAUUAGCUAGUUGGUGUGGUAAAGGCGCACCAAGGCGACGAUCCUUAGCUGGUCUGAGAGGAUGAUCAGCCACACUGGGACUGAGACACGGCCCAGACUCCUACGGGAGGCAGCAGUGGGGAAUAUUGGACAAUGGGCGAAAGCCUGAUCCAGCAAUGCCGCGUGAGUGAUGAAGGCCUUAGGGUUGUAAAGCUCUUUUACCCGGGAUGAUAAUGACAGUACCGGGAGAAUAAGCUCCGGCUAACUCCGUGCCAGCCGCCGCAGUAA
Molecule: ribosomal RNA, 449 nt
Filed under: uncultured bacterium
Lineage: Bacteria
Description: partial 16S ribosomal RNA
Rfam family: Bacterial small subunit ribosomal RNA
Source: RNAcentral